RNAcentral lists this ribosomal RNA (254 nucleotides) under uncultured bacterium. Its description in RNAcentral is "partial 16S ribosomal RNA". It matches the Rfam family "Bacterial small subunit ribosomal RNA", at positions 524 to 776 of the family's 1533-position model. The record is from RNAcentral.
UACGUAGGGUGCAAGCGUUAAUCGGAAUUACUGGGCGUAAAGCGUGCGCAGGCGGUGAUGUAAGACAGAUGUGAAAUCCCCGGGCUCAACCUGGGAACUGCAUUUGUGACUGCAUCGCUGGAGUACGGCAGAGGGGGGAUGGAAUUCCGCGUGUAGCAGUGAAAUGCGUAGAUAUGCGGAGGAACACCGAUGGCGAAGGCAAUCCCCUGGGCCUGCACUGACGCUCAUGCACGAAAGCGUGGGGAGCAAACAGG